AAAGAUUAAGCCAUGCAUGUGUAAGUAUAAGCCCUUCCUUAGUGUGAAACCGCAAACGGCUCAUUAAAUCAGUCAUAAUUCAUUAGUCGACGGUUACCCUUACUCGGAUAACUGUGGCAAUUCUAGAGCUAAUACGUGCACUUGAGCUCCGACGCCGAUUGGUUUUACGGGAGACUAGUUCGAUCGAUCCACGUCCUCGCGACGUGUUCAUCCUGCUUUCUCCUUAGCCUCUCGGGGGAAGGGCGCAGUUAUUAGAAUCAUAAACCGAGAGAGUCGAGCUUUCGAGUUCGAAACCCUCUUUGGCUAUGAUGACUCUGGAUAACGUUUGCCGAGCGCUGAGGCCUCUGAGCCGGCGCUGCGACUUACGAGUGACUGCCCUAUCAGCUUUAGAUUGUAGGAUAUAGGCCUACGACGGCUGUAACGGGUAACGGGGAAUCAGGGUUCGAUUCCGGAGAGGGAGCCUGAGAAACGGCUACCACAUCUAAGGAAGGCAGCAGGCACGCAAAUUACCCAAUCCCGGCUCGGGGAGGUAGUGACGAUAAAUACCGAUGCGGGAACUCAUCCGAGGCCUCGCAAUCGGAAUGAGCUCACUUUAAAAAAGUGGGCGAUGAUCGAUUGGAGGGCAAGUCUGGUGCCAGCAGCCGCGGUAAUUCCAGCUCCAAUAGCGUAUAUUAAAGUUGUUGCGGUUANNNNNNNNNNNNNNNUUUAGAGUGGCUCAAAGCAGGCACAAAAAUCAAUACGCCCGAAUAUUAAUGCAUUGGAUGAUGGAACAUGACCUCGGUUCUGAUUCUUUUUCUCGGUUUUAACCGAACCCGAGGUAAUGAUUAACGGGAACGGGCGGGGGCAUUAGUACUGCGGCGCGAGGGGUGAAAUCCAUUGACCGUCGCAUGACUACCUACUGCGAAAGCAUUUGCCAAGUACGUUUCCAUUAAUCAAGAACGAAAGUUAGAGGAUCGAAGGCGAUCAGAUACCGCCCUAGUUCUAACCGUAAACUAUGCCAACUAGCGAUGAGUGUACAGUCAAUCCCAAGACUGCGCUCGCAGCCCCCGGGAAACCGAAGUUUUUGGGUUCCGGGGGUAGUAUGGUUGCAAAUCUGAAACUUAAAGGAAUUGACGGAAGGGCACCACCAGGAGUGGAGCCUGCGGCUUAAUUUGACUCAACACGGGAAAACUUACCAGGCCCGGACACCGGAAGGAUUGACAGAUUGAGAGCUCUUUCUCGAUUCGGUGGCUAGUGGUGCAUGGCCGUUCUUAGUUGGUGGAGCGAUUUGUCUGGUUAAUUCCGAUAACGAACNAGACUCUAUCCUACUAAUUAGACGGCGNAUCGUUUCCCUGAGGAGGG
RNAcentral lists this ribosomal RNA (1341 nucleotides) under Paraleptosphaeroma brucei. Its description in RNAcentral is "SSU rRNA". It matches the Rfam family "Eukaryotic small subunit ribosomal RNA", at positions 39 to 1384 of the family's 1831-position model. Lineage: Eukaryota; Metazoa; Arthropoda; Malacostraca; Isopoda; Sphaeromatidae. The record is from RNAcentral.